Molecule: long non-coding RNA, 424 nt
Organism: Asparagus officinalis (garden asparagus)
Lineage: Eukaryota; Viridiplantae; Streptophyta; Magnoliopsida; Asparagales; Asparagaceae
Exons: 3
Source: RefSeq, a predicted model, not a curated record
GAGAUAUUUCAACAUCGAAGACAAUCCCGUAGGGUGGGAAUUUUUAUUUGGAUACCAGGGAAAGUUCAAGCAUUCUCUUCGGGAGUGGAGACAUGAGAUAAAGAAGAAAUGCUUUGAUUGUUUCACUCACAACUGGGAGAGGAUAUACAAGCGAGAUAAGAGGGUUGAGCCUGAGCACUUAGCUGCACUUAUAAUAUUGUGGGGCCAAGAGGAGCACCAGGAAAAAUGUAGGAGAAAUAAACUUAAUCGAUGGAAAAAAGAUUACGAUCAUCAUACGGGGACUACUUCAUUUGCCCAGAUUGAGGAUCAAUUUUGUAGGACAACGAACGCUCCCUUUAUCCCACUACCAGAACUGCACAGGAGAACGAUGGUUCAAUUUAAGAAGGGGUACGAUGAGGAUGAGACUAAGAAACAAAAGCUAGAA